GAUGAACGCUGGCGGCGUGCCUAAUACAUGCAAGUCGAACGCGCAGCGAGAGGUGCUUGCACCUUUCAAGCGAGUGGCGAACGGGUGAGUAACACGUGGAUAACCUGCCUCAAGGCUGGGGAUAACAUUUGGAAACAGAUGCUAAUACCGAAUAAAACUUAGUAUCGCAUGAUAUCAAGUUAAAAGGCGCUACGGCGUCACCUAGAGAUGGAUCCGCGGUGCAUUAGUUAGUUGGUGGGGUAAAGGCUUACCAAGACGAUGAUGCAUAGCCGAGUUGAGAGACUGAUCGGCCACAGUGGGACUGAGACACGGCCUAAACUCCUACGGGAGGCUGCAGGAGGGAAUCUUCCACAAUGGGCGCAAGCCUGAUGGAGCAACGCCGCGUGUGUGAUGAAGGCUUUCGGGUCGUAAAGCACUGUUGUAUGGGAAGAAAUGCUAAAAUAGGGAAUGAUUCUAGUUCGACGGUACCAUACCAGAAAGGGACGGCUAAAUACGUGCCAGCCGCCGCAGUAA
This 513-nucleotide ribosomal RNA is filed under the name uncultured bacterium. RNAcentral's name for it is "partial 16S ribosomal RNA". It matches the Rfam family "Bacterial small subunit ribosomal RNA", at positions 28 to 523 of the family's 1533-position model. The record is from RNAcentral.